This 843-nucleotide long non-coding RNA is filed under the name Homo sapiens (human). Its description in RNAcentral is "HSALNT0372099". The record is from RNAcentral. Lineage: Eukaryota; Metazoa; Chordata; Mammalia; Primates; Hominidae.
GGGAACAUGGGCAGGGACAAAUAAGGGAAUAAAAGCUGGCCACCCCAGCCAGCAGUGGUAACCGGUUUGGGUCCUUUUUCGCAAUGUGGAGUCUUCGUCCUUUUGCUCUUCCCAAAAAACCUUGCUGCCUCUUACUUUUUGGGUCUGUGCCAUCUUUAAGAGCUGUAACACUCACCGUGAAGGUCCGUGGCUUCAUUGAUGAAGUCAGUGAGAAUCAUGAAGUCAGCCAGAGUACUGCCCUGGAGGGAAUCGACUGCCAGUUUAAGGAGUCAUUGUCCAGUUCAGACUCCAGAAUACGAAACGUAGAAACUGACAGGAAAUGACCAAGUAUAAAUUGCAACUUGUAAAGAAUCAUCUUAAAUCCUGGCACUGCGUUCAAGGGGGAGUUUGAGCAAGGAAUGUUGCUAAAACGGCUAAAACCAGGAACUCAGAAUAUCGAACCUAAAAACUGUUUCCAACCCAUCACGACAUCACCCUGAAAAAUGAGUGAGCAGUCACUGAGGCUUCCCAAGUUUGAAAAUUCCACAAGACUGAGAGCAAAUGUUUUGUUGAAACUGAAGUCAAGAUGAAGUCAGCUGACUCUCAAACCUCAGGUGAAGUGACUCAGGGCCCACACCCCGGUUCUGAGGCAGGGACACAUUUUACUUGCAGCACCCUGCAGCUUUGGAUGAGGCUGCAACCCGGGUGAAUCCUGGCCCUGCUAUCACGUGGGCAGCCACUGCAUCCUCCGGAGGCUGUGGAUGGGAGUCACCAUGCUGGGAGGUCUGGAGUAAGAUCUGUGCCAUCUGCCUUGCCCAAUCCUGUACCAGUGCCUGUGUUUCAAAAUCUCAAAAUAAAAGUGAU